CCAUACCUUGACAGAGGGAACAGAAGUGAACAUGAUACCAGCUCACUGGUGUUGCUCACCUCUCCUUUCUCUUACUUUCCCAGCUGGAAGCACUGUAACACCUUCUGAACUCUUCCAUAUAUGUAGUUAGGCUAAUACAAGUCUACACUCAGCACACUUUCUCAUCACUCUUGUGUGGCGUACACUUUUCUACUCUUGUUUUUUUGCUGUUAGUUGCAACUCUGGGGAAUUUCUUUGCUGAUACAUAGGAUAUAUUGGCUAGUUUAGUUAAAUGAAAUUGCUAUGGGUAUGAAAGCUUAAAUGUAAAAACAGGCUGAGGUGGUAACUUGGAAUGACUACACUAUUUUGCUGGGAAUAUAGUCUAAUCUCGUAAGACCUCUCAUGCAUUUGCAGUGUGUGUGUAGAAGCUGAUGAAGAUUGAAGUGUUGGAAGCACAGUGUUCAUGCUGAAGAAUAUGAUAGUCUUCUGUUUCAAGAGGGGGAGAGCCAUCUGUCGUGAUCCAGUCUCUGGCACUGAAGAGGACAGCAGUGACUAGUGAUUAACUAAACUUUGGUCAUCACAAUUGUUUCUUGACUGUCCUGGGGAGCUAUACAGCCUUCAGUGAGGAACAGGGAACUGAAACUGCUUGUGGAAUUUUUCAACUGGUGAAUACCUGCUGCUGCAGAGAGGAUCUCAAAUGUACACCACUCACAAAUCAGGAUAAAAUCAAACAGGAUUCUGGAGAUGCCGUGCUCUACUAUUCUACAGUGCUUCAUAAAACUAUGUGAGAUGUGCCCAUGCUGAUUCACCUGGUCUGCAGUUAGCAUCUAUCAACAAACUGCUACCUGCACCUUCAUCUGGAGGGAAUCCAGAGCAAGGAAAUCACAAGGAAAUACUUAGAGGUAAGAGUGCUUAGAUUUUUGUCAUUCAUUCUCUCCUCUAGUGAUAAAAUGCGCAGAUGAAUCUGUGCAAUUGUGUGGAC
This 961-nucleotide long non-coding RNA is filed under the name Chrysolophus pictus (golden pheasant). Its description in RNAcentral is "lncRNA (ENSCPIG00010009015.1)". Lineage: Eukaryota; Metazoa; Chordata; Aves; Galliformes; Phasianidae. The record is from RNAcentral.